This 947-nucleotide ribosomal RNA is filed under the name Agaricus sp. RNAcentral's name for it is "eukaryotic LSU rRNA". It matches the Rfam family "Eukaryotic large subunit ribosomal RNA", at positions 35 to 969 of the family's 3401-position model. The record is from RNAcentral. Lineage: Eukaryota; Fungi; Basidiomycota; Agaricomycetes; Agaricales; Agaricaceae.
UAAGCAUAUCAAUAAGCGGAGGAAAAGAAACUAACAAGGAUUCCCCUAGUAACUGCGAGUGAAGCGGGAAAAGCUCAAAUUUAAAAUCUGGCAGUCUCUGGCUGUCCGAGUUGUAAUCUAGAGAAGUAAUGCCCGUGCUGGACCGUGUAUAAGUCUCCUGGGAUGGGGCGUCAUAGAGGGUGAGAAUCCCGUCUUUGACACGGACUACCAGUGCAUUGUGGUAUGCUCUCAAAGAGUCGAGUUGUUUGGGAAUGCAGCUCAAAAUGGGUGGUAAAUUCCAUCUAAAGCUAAAUAUUGGCGAGAGACCGAUAGCGAACAAGUACCGUGAGGGAAAGAUGAAAAGAACUUUGGAAAGAGAGUUAAACAGUACGUGAAAUUGCUGAAAGGGAAACGCUUGAAGUCAGUCGCGUUGGCCGGGAAUCAGCCUUGCUUCUGCAUGGUGUACUUUCUGGUUGACGGGUCAGCAUCAAUUUUGACCGCUGGAAAAAGGCCUGGGGAAUGUGGCAGCUUCGGCUGUGUUAUAGCCCCUAGUUGCAUACAGUGGUUGGGAUUGAGGAACUCAGCACGCCGCAAGGCCGGGUUUCGACCACGUUCGUGCUUAGGAUGCUGGCAUAAUGGCUUUAAGCGACCCGUCUUGAAACACGGACCAAGGAGUCUAACAUGCCUGCGAGUAUUUGGGUGGAAAACUCAAGUGCGUAAUGAAAGUGAAAGUUGAGAUCCCUGUCGUGGGGAGCAUCGACGCCCGGACCAGAACUUUUGGGACGGAUCCGCGGUGGAGCAUGUAUGUUGGGACCCGAAAGAUGGUGAACUAUGCCUGAAUAGGGUGAAGCCAGAGGAAACUCUGGUGGAGGCUCGUAGCGAUUCUGACGUGCAAAUCGAUCGUCAAAUUUGGGUAUAGGGGCGAAAGACUAAUCGAACCAUCUAGUAGCUGGUUCCUGCCGAAUUCC